Molecule: small RNA, 27 nt
Filed under: Bombyx mori (domestic silkworm)
Lineage: Eukaryota; Metazoa; Arthropoda; Insecta; Lepidoptera; Bombycidae
Description: ovarian small RNA-10815
Source: RNAcentral
AAUGAAAUCAGAUAGGACGUUAAUCGU